GACAAACAUUAAGCCAUAAGCGAAAGCUUGACUUAGCCAGGGUUAAGAGGGCCGGUAAAACUCGUGCCAGCAACCGCGGUUAUACGAGGGGCCCAAAUUGAUAAAUCACGGCGUAAAGUGUGAUUAGAGACAAAACCGAACUAGAACCAAAUACCCCUUAUGCAGUCAUACGCCAUGGGGGUCACGAAGACCAACAACGAAGGUGGUUCUACAAAACUUGAACUCACGACAGCUAGGACACAAACUGGGAUUAGAUACCCCACUAUGCCUUACCUUAAACCAAGAUGACAAGACUACAAACCACAUCCGCCAGGGAACUACGAGCCCCCGCUUAAAACCCAAGGGACUUGGCGGUGCCUCAAACCCACCUAGAGGAGCCUGUCCUAUAACCGAUAAUCCCCGUUAAACCUCACCCCUCCUUGUUAAUUCCGCCUAUAUACCGCCGUCGCCAGUUUACCUUUUGAAAGAACAAAAGUAAGCAAAACGGGCAUCACCCAACACGUCAGGUCGAGGUGUAGCGAAUGGAGGGGGAAGAGAUGGGCUACAUUUUCUGACAACAGAACACUACGGAGAGUGCAAUGAAAAAUGCACGGACGAAGGUGGAUUUAGCAGUAAAAGGAAAGGAGAGAGUUCUUUUGAAACCGGCCCUGAGGCGCGUACACACCGCCCGUCACUCUCCUCGAAAAGCAAGACGACAGUAAAUAAAAAAAUAGAAAAGAGAGAGGAGGCAA
RNAcentral lists this ribosomal RNA (731 nucleotides) under Gymnothorax miliaris (goldentail moray). RNAcentral's name for it is "partial 12S ribosomal RNA". It matches the Rfam family "Bacterial small subunit ribosomal RNA", at positions 356 to 1484 of the family's 1533-position model. The record is from RNAcentral. Lineage: Eukaryota; Metazoa; Chordata; Actinopteri; Anguilliformes; Muraenidae.